GACGAACGCUGGCGGCGUGCCUAACACAUGCAAGUCGAGCGGAGUCGAUCGACGGAAGCCUUCGGGCGGAAGAUGGUUGACUUAGCGGCGGAUGGGUGAGUAACGCGUGGGCAACCUGCCUCGAAGACCGGGAUAACAGCCCGAAAGGGCUGCUAAUACCGGAUGUGGUCAAAGAUCCGCAUGGAUUUUUGAUUAAAGGGGAAACCCGUUUCGAGAUGGGCCCGCGUCCUAUCAGCUAGUUGGUGAGGUAAAAGCUCACCAAGGCGACGACGGGUAGCCGGCCUGAGAGGGUGACCGGCCACACUGGAACUGAGACACGGUCCAGACUCCUACGGGGGGCAGCAGUGGGGAAUCUUCCACAAUGGGCGAAAGCCUGAUGGGGCGACGCCGCGUGAGCGAAGAAGGCCUUCGGUUGUAAAGCUCUGUCUGGAGGGACGAAGGAAGUGACGGUACCUCCGGAGGAAGCCACGGCUAACUACGUG
This 482-nucleotide ribosomal RNA is filed under the name uncultured bacterium. Its description in RNAcentral is "bacterial SSU rRNA". It matches the Rfam family "Bacterial small subunit ribosomal RNA", at positions 28 to 507 of the family's 1533-position model. The record is from RNAcentral.